Molecule: ribosomal RNA, 220 nt
Filed under: uncultured Entrophospora
Lineage: Eukaryota; Fungi; Glomeromycota; Glomeromycetes; Entrophosporales; Entrophosporaceae
Description: uncultured Claroideoglomus partial small subunit ribosomal RNA
Rfam family: Eukaryotic small subunit ribosomal RNA
Source: RNAcentral
CCAAUAGCGUAUAUUAAAGUUGUUGCAGUUAAAAAGCUCGUAGUUGAAUUUCGGGAUUGACGUGACGGUCAUGCCUUAAGGGGUAUGAACUGUUACUGUUGAUUUCUCACCUUCUGGAGAAACUUGAUGUCCUUUAUUGGGUGUCUUGCGGAUCCAGGACCUUUACCUUGAAAAAAUUAGAGUGUUUAAAGCAGGCAUUUUUGCUCGAAUACAUUAGCAU